GUCUAUGGCCAUACCACCCUGAACGCGCCCGAUCUCGUCUUAUCUCGGAAGCUAAGCGGGGUUGGGCCUGGUUAGUACUUGGAUGGGAGACCGCCUGGGAAUACUGGGUGCUGUAGGCU
This 119-nucleotide ribosomal RNA is filed under the name Ornithorhynchus anatinus (platypus). The record is from RNAcentral. Lineage: Eukaryota; Metazoa; Chordata; Mammalia; Monotremata; Ornithorhynchidae.